Non-coding RNA from Danio rerio (zebrafish), 74 nucleotides. The record is from Rfam. Lineage: Eukaryota; Metazoa; Chordata; Actinopteri; Cypriniformes; Danionidae.
GGCCGGUUAGCUCAGCUGGUUAGAGCGUGGUGCUAAUAACGCCAAGGUCGCGGGUUCGAGCCCCGUACUGGCCA